GAUGAACGCUGGCGGCGUGCCUAAUACAUGCAAGUCGAGCGAACGGACGAGAAGCUUGCUUCUCUGAUGUUAGCGGCGGACGGGUGAGUAACACGUGGAUAACCUACCUAUAAGACUGGGAUAACUUCGGGAAACCGGCGCUAAUACCGGAUAAUAUUUUGAACCGCAUGGUUCAAAAGUGAAAGACGGUCUUGCUGUCACUUAUAGAUGGAUCCGCGCUGCAUUAGCUAGUUGGUAAGGUAACGGCUUACCAAGGCAACGAUGCAUAGCCGACCUGAGAGGGUGAUCGGCCACACUGGAACUGAGACACGGUCCAGACUCCUACGGGAGGCAGCAGUAGGGAAUCUUCCGCAAAGGGCGAAAGCCUGACGGAGCAACGCCGCGUGAGUGAUGAAGGUCUUCGGAUCGUAAAACUCUGUUAUUAGGGAAGAACAUAUGUGUAAGUAACUGUGCACAUCUUGACGGUACCUAAUCAGAAAGCCACGGCUAACUACGUG
RNAcentral lists this ribosomal RNA (497 nucleotides) under uncultured bacterium. RNAcentral describes it as "partial 16S ribosomal RNA". It matches the Rfam family "Bacterial small subunit ribosomal RNA", at positions 28 to 507 of the family's 1533-position model. The record is from RNAcentral.